UACGUAGGGGGCUAGCGUUGUCCGGAAUCAUUGGGCGUAAAGAGCGCGUAGGCGGCCAGAUAAGUCCGGUGUGAAAGUCACAGGCUCAACCUGUGAAUGCCGCUGGAAACUGUCUGGCUAGAGUCCGGGAGGGGCGAGUGGAAUUCCUGGUGUAGCGGUGAAAUGCGCAGAUAUCGGGAAGAACACCCGUGGCUAAGGCGGCUCUCUAGUACGGUACUGACGCUGAGACGCGAAAGCGUGGGGAGCGAACAGG
RNAcentral lists this ribosomal RNA (253 nucleotides) under uncultured bacterium. RNAcentral describes it as "partial 16S ribosomal RNA". It matches the Rfam family "Bacterial small subunit ribosomal RNA", at positions 524 to 776 of the family's 1533-position model. The record is from RNAcentral.